This 492-nucleotide ribosomal RNA is filed under the name uncultured bacterium. Its description in RNAcentral is "partial 16S ribosomal RNA". It matches the Rfam family "Bacterial small subunit ribosomal RNA", at positions 29 to 507 of the family's 1533-position model. The record is from RNAcentral.
AGUGAACGCUGGCGGUAGGCCUAACACAUGCAAGUCGAACGGCAGCACAGUAAGAGCUUGCUCUUACGGGUGGCGAGUGGCGGACGGGUGAGGAAUACAUCGGAAUCUACUUUUUCGUGGGGGAUAACGUAGGGAAACUUACGCUAAUACCGCAUACGACCUACGGGUGAAAGCAGGGGAUCUUCGGACCUUGCGCGAUUGAAUGAGCCGAUGUCGGAUUAGCUAGUUGGCGGGGUAAAGGCCCACCAAGGCGACGAUCCGUAGCUGGUCUGAGAGGAUGAUCAGCCACACUGGAACUGAGACACGGUCCAGACUCCUACGGGAGGCAGCAGUGGGGAAUAUUGGGCAAUGGGCGCAAGCCUGAUCCAGCCAUACCGCGUGGGUGAAGAAGGCCUUCGGGUUGUAAAGCCCUUUUGUUGGGAAAGAAAAGCAGCAAGUUAAUACCCCGCUGUUCUGACGGUACCCAAAGAAUAAGCACCGGCUAACUUCGUG